Molecule: transfer RNA, 73 nt
Filed under: Nanobdellota archaeon
Lineage: Archaea; Nanobdellati; Nanobdellota
Also listed under: 1 other name
Description: Nanoarchaeota archaeon tRNA-Asp
Rfam family: tRNA
About the family: Transfer RNA (tRNA) molecules are approximately 80 nucleotides in length. Their secondary structure includes four short double-helical elements and three loops (D, anti-codon, and T loops).
Source: RNAcentral
GCCCCGAUAGUCUAGUGGCCUAGGAUGCGGGACUGUCGAUCCCGCGACCCGGGUUCAAAUCCCGGUCGGGGCG